Molecule: unclassified non-coding RNA, 662 nt
Filed under: Hevea brasiliensis (rubber tree)
Lineage: Eukaryota; Viridiplantae; Streptophyta; Magnoliopsida; Malpighiales; Euphorbiaceae
Source: RNAcentral
ACAACCCAAGCUGGAUGAGCGUGCUUUGAAUGAAGUCAUGAAGAAGCUUUUCAAAAACUACAAGAAAUGGUGCAAGUACUUGGACAGGAAAAGCAGUUUAUGGCUGCCAACGAUACAACAGGAAGUGCAGCAGCGUAAGUUAUUAUAUAUGGGAUUAUAUCUUCUCAUAUGGGGGGAAGCUGCAAAUUUAAGAUUCAUGCCGGAAUGCCUUUGCUACAUUUACCAUCAUAUGGCAUUUGAACUCUAUGGCAUGCUAGCUGGCAAUGUUAGUCCCAUGACAGGUGAAAAUGUUAAGCCAGCUUAUGGAGGGGAAGAGGAGGCUUUCUUGAGAAAAGUUGUUACUCCUAUUUAUGAAGUGAUUGCACGGGAAGCUGCAAGAAGCAGAAGAGGAAAAGCAAAGCAUUCCCAGUGGAGGAACUAUGAUGAUCUAAAUGAAUACUUUUGGUCAGUGGACUGCUUCAGAUUAGGUUGGCCUAUGCGUGCUGAUGCUGAUUUCUUUUGCCUUCCUGUAGAUGAAGAGCAAGCUGAGAGAAAUGGGGACAACAAGGCUUUAAGUGAUCGCUGGCUGGGAAAAGUUAAUUUUGUUGAGAUACGAUCAUAUUUGCACAUCUUUAGGAGCUUUGACAGAAUGUGGAGCUUCUUCAUAUUGUGUUUACAGGCAA